UAUGACCCCUCAGAUCAGUGGGUAUGACCCCUCAGAUCAAGAGUGUGACCCCCUCAGAUCAGCGGGUAUGACCCCUCAGUGGCAAACUUGCCGUUUCUCAGUCAUGUGUUUCAUUCUUUCCAACCGUUUCAGAGAUGACUGGUAGCGUUCCCUUGAGUUCCGCGCAGUCCUGCCUUUAAUGAAAAUACAUGUCUGCUGAGAAACCUUUUUGCCCCUGUUUUCCCUUUCACUCCAGAGGCAGCUUCAUUAUUUUCUCAUGGGAAAAGUGACUUGAAGGAGAAAAUAAUGCGUAAACUUACAGAUUUUGUUUGUUUUUGUUGUU
Long non-coding RNA from Sorex fumeus (smoky shrew), 322 nucleotides. RefSeq lists it as uncharacterized. The record is from RefSeq and is a predicted model, not a curated record. Lineage: Eukaryota; Metazoa; Chordata; Mammalia; Eulipotyphla; Soricidae. The transcript is spliced from 3 exons.